Molecule: long non-coding RNA, 338 nt
Filed under: Gossypium barbadense (sea-island cotton)
Lineage: Eukaryota; Viridiplantae; Streptophyta; Magnoliopsida; Malvales; Malvaceae
Description: long non-coding RNA (GBAR_LNC016009)
Source: RNAcentral
AACUCUCGAGCAGAGAGACUGCACCAGUUAGAUCACCAUGCUCAGCAGCGGCUCUUGCCUCAGCCAUUGCCUCUGCAGCACGGAGCCUGUUUCGCUGCCUGUCUACCUCCAUUGACACUAUUGGUUGUCCUAUUACUGUUGCCCUCUGGAUCUUUACUUCAUUGUCUUCUUCCAAUGACACCAUUUCUUUUGAUAAGGGGUCUCCGUAAAUACAUCUAACCUUCAGCAAUGACAUCUCAUCACAGGAUUCAUCAACUGGAACAUUGACCGUCACCAAAAAGUCUCUUUCUUCUUCAGCAUACAAGUCUCCUACAUCAAUAGAACCUGCUUUAGCAUCA